Molecule: long non-coding RNA, 690 nt
Organism: Belonocnema kinseyi
Lineage: Eukaryota; Metazoa; Arthropoda; Insecta; Hymenoptera; Cynipidae
Exons: 7
Source: RefSeq, a predicted model, not a curated record
GGAGUGUAAACAGAACAUGAAAUUUGUUGUUCUGUAGUGUAUUAAUUAAAAAAGUGACCUUACCAAUUUUAAUUCAGAGCAUGGGGGGAUGUGUAAUUUGUGGAAAAUUGCAAAGGCACGAAAAUGUGACUUUACACAAAUUUCCACGAGAUAAGACACUGUGCCAAGAAUGGAGUGAGGAAACGUUGGAAACCAGGAGAAUUGCCUACGAUUUGUACAAGAAUUACCCUUGAACCGCAAAGGGACAUUUCGGAAAUAAAUAAUACGACAGUUACCUGAAGGCUUGUGUAAUUUGGAAGAGAUAGUUGGUGAAAAUCGUAAGGAGAUCUCGAGCAAUAAAUAAAAUAUACUUUUUACGAAUGAGGGUUCUGCAUUCCAAAAUUCUCAAAAAUGUGAAAGUGUUUCAUAACCAACAAUAAACAUUUCCAUAAGUAACAGUUCACCAAAUAAUAGAGAUGAUGUGCACGAUGUACUUCGACCUUUUUCUUUUUUGGAAAAUGUACCCAAACUGAGUGUUGUCCUGGAUAAUGGUGAAACUGCAGAUAAUGUGGAAGAGAUACCGAUCGGUGCGUGUAAUAAUUACACUACACCGAAGAAGGAAAUACCGAACAUUUCUAGAUCUGCGACACCACACUCUAAGGUUUCUGCACGAUCAUCGUUACGUCAACUGCGUUGUAAGUACAACGUACG